Pectinophora gossypiella (pink bollworm) is the source of this 916-nucleotide RNA transcript. RefSeq lists it as uncharacterized. The record is from RefSeq and is a predicted model, not a curated record. The transcript is spliced from 6 exons. Lineage: Eukaryota; Metazoa; Arthropoda; Insecta; Lepidoptera; Gelechiidae.
UUCUGCUUGUCAUCGUGCUCUAGAAAUCACGUUGCAGCCGAGUUGUUUUGAAUCUUUGGUUUAUUCCUCUGAUUGUUACAAAAUUAUUCAGUUAUAGUAUUUAUAUAGGUGGUGGUAUAUAUUUGUGUUUACGUGAAGGCGUCUGCUCGCUCCAAGAGAUUCCUCGCCAAGAAAAAAGUUAAUGGAUGGCGUAACUUUUGCGAGUCUCUUGCUCCCCGGUCUCCUGCUUCUUUGGUGUGGAAACGUAUUAAAUCAUUCAGAAGGUGCGAUGAAGUCGUCCCCUACAAAUGCGCUCCAAGUGGAAUGUGUGGAACCUCCACUCCAAUUACGUAGACAGUAUCUCUCGGAUAGGUAAUACUUAAUCUAGGGAUAGUGAAGAACUCGCAGGGUGCUGAUAAGGAGCUUAAUAGCUUAGUGGAAAAAAACUGGAAGGAUUGGCUUCAACUCUAUACCGAUGCCUCUAAAUUAUCAGAUACAAGUCACGUAGGAGCUGCUGUUUGGAUUCCUAAAUUUAAUAUCAUCCUAAACUAUAAAUGCCCUGCUAGCUGCUCCAUUUUCACAGGAAGUUCUUUAUAGAUGCCAAAAGAGUGGUCUUGAAAUUGUCCUGGCUUGGAUUCCCAGUCACAGCGGUAUUCGUGGCAACGAGAACGCCGACCUAUGUGCUAAAGAAGCUGUCCGCUUGGGUACUGAGAUCUACAACAAGACUUUCUCCAGAGAUAUCCGGGCUCUCGCUAAAUCACAUCUAUUCAAAACUUGGGAUGAGCUUUGGCAAACAUCUAAGCAAGCAAAAGGGAACUUCUGGACUACAUCAUUGGACUUCCCACCGAACAGUCUUCAGUAUAAUUUAAAUUAACCUACCGACUAUUUUUUUUAUGAUUUUUUUUUUUUUUUUUUCUUCGGUACCUUGACGUUGGCA